AGAGUUUGAUCAUGGCUCAGGAUGAACGCUAGCGGAGGCCUAACACAUGCAAGCCGAGCGGUAGAGAUUCUUCGGAAUCUUGAGAGCGGCGUACGGGUGCGGAACACGUGUGCAACCUACCUUUAUCUGGAGGAUAGCCUUUCGAAAGGAAGAUUAAUACUCCAUAAUAUAUUGAUUGGCAUCAAUUGAUAUUGAAAGCUCCGGCGGAUAGAGAUGGGCACGCGCAAGAUUAGUUAGUUGGUGAGGUAACGGCUCACCAAGACGAUGAUCUUUAGGGGGCCUGAGAGGGUGAUCCCCCACACUGGUACUGAGACACGGACCAGACUCCUACGGGAGGCAGCAGUGAGGAAUAUUGGUCAAUGGGUGCAAGCCUGAACCAGCCAUCCCGCGUGAAGGACGACUGCCCUAUGGGUUGUAAACUUCUUUUGUAUAGGGAUAAACCUACCCUCGUGAGGGUAGCUGAAGGUACUAUACGAAUAAGCACCGGCUAACUCCGUG
This 498-nucleotide ribosomal RNA is filed under the name uncultured bacterium. RNAcentral's name for it is "bacterial SSU rRNA". It matches the Rfam family "Bacterial small subunit ribosomal RNA", at positions 8 to 507 of the family's 1533-position model. The record is from RNAcentral.